RNAcentral lists this ribosomal RNA (403 nucleotides) under uncultured soil bacterium. RNAcentral's name for it is "bacterial SSU rRNA". It matches the Rfam family "Bacterial small subunit ribosomal RNA", at positions 26 to 460 of the family's 1533-position model. The record is from RNAcentral.
AGAACGAACGCUGGCGGCAUGCCUAAUACAUGCAAGUCGAACGAACACUUCGGUGUUAGUGGCGCACGGGUGCGUAACGCGUGGGAAUCUGCCCUUGGGUUCGGAAUAACAGUUGGAAACGACUGCUAAUACCGGAUGAUGACGAAAGUCCAAAGAUUUAUCGCCCAGGGAUGAGCCCGCGUAGGAUUAGCUAGUUGGUGAGGUAAAGGCUCACCAAGGCGACGAUCCUUAGCUGGUCUGAGAGGAUGAUCAGCCACACUGGGACUGAGACACGGCCCAGACUCCUACGGGAGGCAGCAGUGGGGAAUUUGGACAAUGGGCGAAAGCCUGAUCCAGCCAUGCCGCGUGCAGGAUGAAGGCCUUCGGGUGUAAACUGCUUUGUACGGAACGAAAGUCUACUUCU